Molecule: transfer RNA, 130 nt
Filed under: Phaeomoniella chlamydospora
Lineage: Eukaryota; Fungi; Ascomycota; Eurotiomycetes; Phaeomoniellales; Phaeomoniellaceae
Rfam family: tRNA
About the family: Transfer RNA (tRNA) molecules are approximately 80 nucleotides in length.
Source: Rfam by way of RNAcentral
GGCCGCCUAGUCUAGCGGUUAUGAUUUCUCCUUUACAUUUUAUGUUUGUUGUUGUGAUUCCACAACCGACUGAAAAAGAAAAAAUUUAUAUAAACGGAGAAGGUCGCAGGUUCGAACCCUGCGGCGGUCA